This 105-nucleotide small nuclear RNA is filed under the name Sus scrofa (pig). The record is from RNAcentral. Lineage: Eukaryota; Metazoa; Chordata; Mammalia; Artiodactyla; Suidae.
GCUCACUUCAGAAGAACAUAUACUAAAACUGGAAUGCUACAGAGAAGAUUAGCACAGCCCCUGUGCAAGGAUGACACGCAAGUUUGUGAAGCAUUCACAUUACAA